UACGUAGGGUGCAAGCGUUGUCCGGAAUUAUUGGGCGUAAAGAGCUCGUAGGCGGCUUGUUGCGUCGGUUGUGAAAGCCCGGGGCUUAACCCCGGGUCUGCAGUCGAUACGGGCAGGCUAGAGUGUGGUAGGGGAGAUCGGAAUUCCUGGUGCAGCGGUGAAAUGCGCAGAUAUCAGGAGGAACACCGGUGGCGAAGGCGGAUCUCUGGGCCAUUACUGACGCUGAGGAGCGAAAGCGUGGGGAGCGAACAGG
This 253-nucleotide ribosomal RNA is filed under the name uncultured bacterium. Its description in RNAcentral is "partial 16S ribosomal RNA". It matches the Rfam family "Bacterial small subunit ribosomal RNA", at positions 524 to 776 of the family's 1533-position model. The record is from RNAcentral.